CCCAACAGCUAGCCCACCCACCCAAGAACAACAAACACAAUCAAUACCCCCUCAAAUACAACACAACCAUAUAAAUAAAUCAUUCUCCCUCCUAAGUACGGGAGACAGAAAAGGACAUUCCUGGCGCUAUAGAUAAAGUACCGCAAGGGAAAGCUGAAAGAGCAAAUGACACAACCCAGUAAAGAAAAAAAAAGCAGAGAUCAGUACUCGUACCUUUUGCAUCAUGACUUAGCCAGUAACUUUCAAGCAAAGCGUACUUUAGUUUGAGCCCCCGAAACUAAGCGAGCUACUCCAAGACAGCCUAUUAUAGGGCGAACCCAUCUCUGUGGCAAAAGAGUGGGAAGAGCUUUGAGUAGAGGUGACAGACCUACCGAGCCUAGUUAUAGCUGGUUGCCUAAGAAAUGAAUAGAAGUUCAGCCUUUUAACUUUUUCCCUCCAACAAGGACACCCUCUCCCCGACACAGAGAAGCUAAAAGAGUUAUUCAAAAGGGGUACAGCCCUUUUGAAAAAAGACACAACUUUAAUAAGCAGGCAAAAGAUCAAAAGACUUAAAGGCACAAUAUUCUAGUGGGCCUAAAAGCAGCCAUCCAUGCAAAAAGCGUUAAAGCUUAAAUAUUAGCCACCCCCAAUCCCGACAACAACAUCUUAAACCCCUAAAACUACUAGGCCAUUCCAUGCAAACAUGGAAGAGACCAUGCUAACAUGAGUAUAUAAGAGGGCCCAGCCCCUCUCCCCGCACCCGUGUAAAUCAGAACGAACCCCCACUGAAAAUUAACGUCCCCAACAGAAGAGGGCAUUGAAUAACACCCCCCAUUUAAACCAGAAAACUCCUCAACAAAAUAACGUUAACCCUACACAGGCAUGCUUAAGGAAAGACUAAAAGAAAAAGAAGGAACUCGGCAAACACCGGCCUCGCCUGUUUACCAAAAACAUCGCCUCUUGCCCACAAAAUAUAAGAGGUCCCGCCUGCCCUGUGACAUAAAAGUUUAACGGCCGCGGUAUUUUGACCGUGCGAAGGUAGCGUAAUCACUUGUCUUUUAAAUGAAGACCAGUAUGAAUGGCAUAACGAGGGCCAAACUGUCUCCUUUUUCUAGUCAAUGAAAUUGAUCUGUCCGUGCAGAAGCGGACAUAAACCCAUAAGACGAGAAGACCCUAUGGAGCUUAAGACACUAGGACAGCCCACGUUAAGCCCCCUCCAUAAAGAGCACAAACUAAAUGGCCCCUGUCCCACUGUCUUUGGUUGGGGCGACCGCGGGGCAACACGAACCCCCCACGUGGAAUAGGGCAUUCCCCCUCAAAAACAGAGCCACAGCUCUAGCAUACAGAACCUCUGACCAAUAAGAUCCGGCACUGCCGAUCAACGGACCAAGUUACCCUAGGGAUAACAGCGCAAUCCCCUUUUAGAGCCCAUAUCGACAAGGGGGUUUACGACCUCGAUGUUGGAUCAGGACAUCCUAAUGGUGCAGCCGCUAUUAAGGGUUCGUUUGUUCAACGAUUAAAGUCCUACGUGAUCUGAGUUCAGACCGGAGAAAUCCAGGUCAGUUUCUAUCUAUGAUGUGCUCUUUUCUAGUACGAAAGGACCGAAAAGACGAGGCCCCUGCUACAAGCAAGCCUCCCCCUCACCCAAUGAAACCAACUAAAAUAGGUAAAAGGGCAUGACCCUCCUGCCUGAGAAAAAGGCAA
Molecule: ribosomal RNA, 1683 nt
Filed under: Oxyeleotris marmorata (marble goby)
Lineage: Eukaryota; Metazoa; Chordata; Actinopteri; Gobiiformes; Eleotridae
Description: 16S ribosomal RNA
Rfam family: Bacterial large subunit ribosomal RNA
Source: RNAcentral